AUGUCCGGUGUCCGCAGCCCGAGCCGCGCGGGGCCGCCGCAGAGCUCGGCCCUACUCACCGCCCGCCGCCGCCACCCCCCGCGGCGUCGCCCAGCAACAAGCGCGCGACCCGCGCCGGAAGGACAAGGGCCCGAUGGGAAAUGCAGGCCUCCCCGCGCCCGCGCCCAUUGGCGCCACUGGCGCAUGCACGCUGCCGCCCGGCGGCGGGAGGGCGCCGCGGCGCCGGGGUCGCGGGUUCGCGGCUGCCGUCGGCCAGGCCUCGGGGAUGGGGCGGCACGGCCGUGCYCGCCCGGAGCCCUCCCGUCCCUUCCACGCUGGAAACGGCCCCCCAGCCCCCAAACCGCACGGGGGUGGCACCAACGGCGGCCCCCUCCGGCCAGCACAGCCCUCCAAGAACCAGCCAGGACGACAGGAGGUGUCCACACCUGGGUCGAGUUUAUUGCGUUCGCACCUCGCAGUGACAAACACGGACGGCUGAGGGAAACAGCAGCUCCUCGAAAYGCCGCAACAGUCCAGAGAGAGAUUUCCCAAGUCUUACAUCUUAUUGUGUUUCCAAAAAAAAGAAAGAAAGAAAGAGAGAAAAAUCCCCUAGGCCUCCCCUCRCGGAAACACUGCAACCUGCGCCUCGACGGCUGGGGCGCGCGGUGGGGAGGGAGCAGAGCACGCAGGGGCAAAGCCUUCGAGCUUCGAACACCCGGUUCUGGUGUUUCAGAGGGCAGCAGAAAACCUGCUGCUAGGAGGAAAAAAAAAAAAAAAAAAAGGGAAAAAAAGAAAAGGGGAGGAGAGAAGGGACGAGGGUUGGGAGAGGACAAGAGCAGAGGGCCAGGCUCAGAGGAGCGCCCGGGCCUCGCGCUGCGCGUAACCGAUCCAUGCAGGGGGUCAGAGCGGGCCCAGCCGCUGGAUGGCAGGAGGCGACGAAGCCGCCACGGGAAAGGCCGGCGCUGCCCGCGCCUUGGGAGUGGAGGGGCUUCGCUCACACCAGGGCAYGCGCAAACAGGGGCCCCGGGCGCAGUAAAGCUUCAGGCGCGCUGCAGCCCAGAGCUGCCUGCCGCUCUCGCCGACGUGGACCCCAGCGACGCGGCAGGGCCCGGCAGCCUCAGCCCGUACGUCACGCGGCCACGGAUUAAGCACAGCCGCUGUGGAUGCGGGGCCGUAUGCCCUGCCCGGCUUCUGCAGCGCUGGAGGGCUGAAGCAAUACAGCGACGCGUUUCACCGCCGAGCAAUCGCACUCGCACGUGCAGGAGACGCACUGGAGAGGGUGGUUAG
Molecule: long non-coding RNA, 1266 nt
Organism: Apteryx haastii (Great spotted kiwi)
Lineage: Eukaryota; Metazoa; Chordata; Aves; Apterygiformes; Apterygidae
Source: Ensembl